RNAcentral lists this non-coding RNA (27 nucleotides) under Homo sapiens (human). Lineage: Eukaryota; Metazoa; Chordata; Mammalia; Primates; Hominidae. The record is from RNAcentral.
UGGAGAUUUGAGCUAUUGACUGUGCGA